RNAcentral lists this ribosomal RNA (965 nucleotides) under Ringiculopsis foveolata. RNAcentral describes it as "partial 16S rRNA". The stretch from base 502 to 665 matches the Rfam family "Archaeal large subunit ribosomal RNA", at positions 1883 to 2090 of the family's 2987-position model. The record is from RNAcentral. Lineage: Eukaryota; Metazoa; Mollusca; Gastropoda; Ringiculidae.
AUAAAGUAUAUAAAUAAUAUUUUUUAUUGUUAAGACAAAGAACCGAAAGGGGUACUUUAACUAUAAUUUUUGAAUGAUUACCUUUUGUAUAAUGGUUAAAUUAGAAUAAAGUUGUUUUUCUUUUCCCGAAAUAAAAAGAUCUUAAAACAUACUUCCUUAUAGUGGAAUAAUAGUCUUUUUGUAGCAAUAAAAAGCUAAAAGUAGUUUUAAGGAUUGAAAAGAUUUCAUUUUUUAAGAUAGCUGGAUUCUCAAUAAAAGUUUUUAAAACUACGAGGUUAACUAGGGGGCAUUUAGGUCCUUUAGGUAAAGAAUGCUUAAUUAUAAAAUUAUUAAUGGGUUAAUCCUCAUUAAACUUUUAAUUUAAGAAUUAUUUAUUAAUUAUUAUCUUUUUAGUUAUUGAGAUAAAAAUAAAAAUUGAGUUAUUUUUGAAUUCUGUUUAAAUUAGUAAUAAAGUUUAUUUAAUAUAAAAUAAAAAAUAGUAAUAAGGAACUCGGCAAAUGGGAAUUUCAACUGUUUAACAAAAACAUAGCUUAAAGAAUAUUAUUUUAAGUGAAACCUGCCCAGUGUGAAAAUUAAAUAAAUGGCCGCGGUACUCUGACCGUGCUAAGGUAGCGUAAUAAUUUGGCUUUUAAAUGGAGUCAGGUAUGAAUGGUUUAAUGGAAUUCAGCUGUCUUUUACUAUUUUAUUGAAAUUACUUUUUAGGUGAAAAAGCCUAAAUAAUUACAAGGGACGAGAAGACCCUUAGAGCUUUACCAUGAGUGGUGAUAAAUAAUGGUUUCGUUGGGGCGACGUAGGAAUAAUGAAAAUCUUCCUUUUAUUUACAUGCCGAUGGUUUAUAAGUAAGAUUAGCUACCUUAGGGAUAACAGCAUAAUAUUAUAAUUAAGCUUGUGACCUCGAUGUUGGACUAGGGGCUCCUUUAACUAGAAGUUUAAGGAUCAGGUUCUGUUCGAACCAACUAUUCCCU